Non-coding RNA from Cricetulus griseus (Chinese hamster), 908 nucleotides. The record is from RefSeq and is a predicted model, not a curated record. NCBI's taxonomy places the organism in Eukaryota, Metazoa, Chordata, Mammalia, Rodentia, Cricetidae.
GUGUGCUGAUGUGAGCCGUACUGAGAUGAUGGGGCUGGGUGGUCAUACUGUGUGCUGAUGUGAGCCGUACUGAGAUGAUGGGGCUGGGUGGUCAUACUGUGUGCUGAUGUGAGCCGUACUGAGAUGAUGGGGCUGGGUGGUCAUACUGUGUGCUGAUGUGAGCCGUACUGAGAUGAUGGGGCUGGGUGGUCAUACUGUGUGCUGAUGUGAGCCGUACUGAGAUGAUGGGGCUGGGUGGUCAUACUGUGUGCUGAUGUGAGCCGUACUAAGAUGAUAGGCCCGAAGGACAAUCUGCCCAGGGAGGGGCUGGUAAGAAACAGAACCUGCUCCUGUCCCUGAGGCUUGCUGGUGGCUCCUGACUCGUGUCCCUUUCAGAGCAGGUACACAGUCACUUCAGGAGGUACGAGGUGGAGUACCUGCAGUUUGCCUUUCGGUGGAUGAACAACCUCCUGAUGCGGGAGCUCCCUCUGCGCUGCACCAUCCGUCUGUGGGACACGUACCAGUCUGAGCCAGAAGGGUUCUCACACUUCCAUCUCUACGUGUGUGCGGCCUUCUUGAUCAAGUGGAGGAAGGAGAUUUUGGAUGAGGAAGACUUUCAGGUUACACAAAAUCAUGGACUCUUAUGGAAAGAGUAAGAGGGGGCGUGGAAGAGGGCCAGUGAGAUGGCUCAGUGGGUGAAGGUGCUUGCUGCCAAGACUGACUGAGUUCACACUCUGGAAUCUACACAGGAGAAGGGAAGAACCUACUCCGGAGGUUGUCCCCUGACCUCCACACUCUACACAAAGCUGACAUACGCACAGUAUAAACAAAUCUAAAGGAAGUUUUUGAGACAGGGUCUCUUUAUGUAGCCUUGGCUGUCCUGGAACUCACAGAGCUCUGCCUGCAGAGAUUAAAGGCAUGCACCACCA